GCAGCCGCGGUAAUUCCAGCUCCAAUAGCGUAUAUUAAAGUUGUUGCAGUUAAAAAGCUCGUAGUUGGAUUUCUGCUGGAAGCAGCCAGUCCGCCCUUAGGGGUGUGCACUUGGUGAAUUCUAGCAUCCUUCUGGUUGCGCUUCUCACUUCGUUGUGUGGGGCGUUUUUCCAGGACUUUUACUUUGAGAAAAUUAGAGUGUUUCAAGCAGGCUUGUCGCCUUGAAUACUGCAGCAUGGAAUAAUAAGAUAGGAUUUCGGCCCUAUUUUGUUGGUUUCUAGGACUGAAGUAAUGAUUAAUAGGGACGGUUGGGGGCAUUCGUAUUUAACUGUCAGAGGUGAAAUUCUUAGAUUUGUUAAAGACGAACUACUGCGAAAGCAUUUGCCAAAGAUGUUUUCAUUAAUCAAGAACGAAAGUUAGGGGCUCGAAGACGAUCAGAUACCGUCGUAGUC
RNAcentral lists this ribosomal RNA (451 nucleotides) under Besnoitia besnoiti. Its description in RNAcentral is "SSU rRNA". It matches the Rfam family "Eukaryotic small subunit ribosomal RNA", at positions 570 to 1025 of the family's 1831-position model. Lineage: Eukaryota; Apicomplexa; Conoidasida; Eucoccidiorida; Sarcocystidae. The record is from RNAcentral.